CCUACGGGUGGCAGCAGUGGGGAAUAUUGGGCAAUGGGCGCAAGCCUGACCCAGCAACGCCGCGUGCAUGAAGAAGGCUUUCGGGUUGUAAACUUCUUUUAAGAGGGAAGAGUCGAAGCCGGUACCACUUGAAUAAGCCACGGCUACCUACGUGCCAGCAGCCGCGGUAAUACGUAGGUGGCAAGCGUUGUCCGGAUUUACUGGGUGUAAAGGGCGUGUAGCCGGGCCGGCAAGUCAGAUGUGAAAUCCCAAGGCUCAACCUUGGAACUGCCUUUGAAACUGUUGGUCUUGAGUAUCGGAGAGGCAGGCGGAAUGCCGAGUGGAGCGGUGAAAUGCGUAGAUAUUAGGAGGAACACCAGUGGCGAAGGCGGCCUGCUGGACGACAACUGACGGUGAGGAGCGAAAGCGUGGGGAGCAAACAGGAUUAGAGACCCGAGUAGUC
RNAcentral lists this ribosomal RNA (442 nucleotides) under uncultured bacterium. RNAcentral's name for it is "partial 16S ribosomal RNA". It matches the Rfam family "Bacterial small subunit ribosomal RNA", at positions 338 to 795 of the family's 1533-position model. The record is from RNAcentral.